AGACGUCGAGAUAAGGAGAUAUGGACGUUUUAAGACAGCAAGGUCCCAACCCGUUUUCAAGUUGGGUCAAACCCAUUUCCCCUUGGUAUAUAAGGGAAAUAUAACCCUAGCAGCCCAUUUUUUUCUCCAAACUCAGAUUUUAGAGAGAGAAAGUGAGAGAGAGGGGAAAUGAGAGAGAGAAAGUAGAAAAUCAACCAAGUUUAAGGCCCCGAAUCCCGAAGCUCGUGAAGGAUAAAGUGUAGUACACGUUGUUGCCGUCAUUCUAAGCUAAGGAUCGAACUUGGGAGUGUUGAUUUCGUGAUUACUACUCUUGAAAGAUUGAAGUUGAAGGUAUUGAAGGACAUUGUGAUACGCUCAAAAGCGGGAAGUUAAGGUACUGAUAUAUAGGACGACACAUCUGCUCAGUAGGACAACAUUCGUAUCAGCUUAUUGGUGAUCCCGAUCUCAUUCGGGAUUUAGUCAACUUUUAUUUUAUGAUUAAUUAUGCAUCUAAAGGUAUGCUGGGGGCGUUGUCUCAGUGAGUAUGUUUUUCAGUCAGACUCAUGAUAGAGGUUUCAUAGACUAGACAAGUCA
Molecule: long non-coding RNA, 573 nt
Organism: Lycium barbarum (goji berry)
Lineage: Eukaryota; Viridiplantae; Streptophyta; Magnoliopsida; Solanales; Solanaceae
Exons: 3
Source: RefSeq, a predicted model, not a curated record